CUACGGGUUGCACCAGUGGGGAAUAUUGCACAAUGGGCGCAAGCCUGAUGCAGCCAUGCCGCGUGUAUGAAGAAGGCCUUCGGGUUGUAAAGUACUUUCAGCGGGGAGGAAGGGAGUAAAGUUAAUACCUUUGCUCAUUGACGUUACCCGCAGAAGAAGCACCGGCUAACUCCGUGCCAGCAGCCGCGGUAAUACGGAGGGUGCAAGCGUUAAUCGGAAUUACUGGGCGUAAAGCGCACGCAGGCGGUUUGUUAAGUCAGAUGUGAAAUCCCCGGGCUCAACCUGGGAACUGCAUCUGAUACUGGCAAGCUUGAGUCUCGUAGAGGGGGAUAGAAUUCCAGGUGUAGCGGUGAAAUGCGUAGAGAUCUGGAGGAAUACCGGUGGCGAAGGCGGCCCCCUGGACGAAGACUGACGCUCAGGUGCGAAAGCGUGGGGAGCAAACAGGAUUAGAUACUCCGGUAGUC
This 464-nucleotide ribosomal RNA is filed under the name uncultured bacterium. RNAcentral describes it as "partial 16S ribosomal RNA". It matches the Rfam family "Bacterial small subunit ribosomal RNA", at positions 339 to 795 of the family's 1533-position model. The record is from RNAcentral.